GUGAACUUGAUAGUUUACUAUUUGUUUAGGUAAACUUGGUCUUGGUUUCCAUUUUUAGCUUUGGCAGUGUUGAAACACAUGGUAUUUUAGGAAUUCUAGUGAGUAGGGAACAAAAAUUAAAAUUGGAGUUAAAUACUUAAAGUUUAGUUUUGUUCUUAACAUAAUUUUUUAAAUAUUACGUUGAAUUUUAUUCACUUAAAUUUUACACCAGUGUUGGAGAUUGGACAAUGAAUUUUGGUUUGAUUCAGUAAGUAGCUAAAAUUAAAUCUGGUAAAGUUUGUGCCAGCCACCGCGGUUAGACAAACAGAUUAAGCUAAAAUUAGUACGGUAAAAAAGAAGGUUAAGGGAAUGUACUGGAAAAAAUGUUCCAGUACUAAAGAGAAAAAUUAUGUCUUUUGUGGAGGUGGAAUUUGUGCAAAAGAAGGUGAUUUGUUGUUUUCUUGUUCUUGAAGCCUUGAAAUCUCAUUAAGAGACCGGGAUUAGAUACCCCGUUAUUUGAGAUGUAAAAUUUGAUUGUUAUGCAAUUUACUUGAGUAUUACGAGUUGUGAAAAUAUUGAUUUACACAAGAAUCUUAAAACUCAAAAGACUUGGCGGUAUCUUAGGUCCUUCUAGGGGAACCUGUCCUGUAAUCGAUAGUCCACGAUUUAUCUUUCCUUUCCUUGAAAAUAUUCAGCUUGUAUACCGUCGUCGUCAGAUUACCUUUAAGAGUUAAAUAAGUUAUCAGGAAGAAUGUUACUAUUAAGCUUUUGCUUCAGCUUAAUUAGUUGGGUUUAAUGUAAGAGUAAUUUUCUAGAUGUCAGAUCAAGGUGCAGCCCAUGGAAAGGUAGAGAUGGGUUACAAUAAUUAUUUGUUAUUUACGGAUUUCUUAUUGAAAUUAUAAGAACUAAAGGCGGACUUAGAAGUAAUUAAUAAGAGAAAUAGAAAGUUUCGGUGAAAAUGGCACUAAGAUGUGCACACAUCGCCCGUCGCUCUCGUUGAAAAAUGAGAUAAGUCGUAACAUAGUUAGGGUACCGGAAGGUGCUCUUAGUGAAGUGUAGUAAUAACCAAUAGUUGAAAUAAAAAUAUUUAGAAAUAA
This 1076-nucleotide ribosomal RNA is filed under the name Omphalius nigerrimus. RNAcentral describes it as "12S ribosomal RNA". The stretch from base 206 to 1035 matches the Rfam family "Microsporidia small subunit ribosomal RNA". The record is from RNAcentral. Lineage: Eukaryota; Metazoa; Mollusca; Gastropoda; Trochida; Tegulidae.